Molecule: ribosomal RNA, 235 nt
Filed under: uncultured bacterium
Lineage: Bacteria
Description: partial 16S ribosomal RNA
Rfam family: Bacterial small subunit ribosomal RNA
Source: RNAcentral
UGGCGGACGGGUGAGUAAUGUCUGGGAAACUGCCCGAUGGAGGGGGAUAACUACUGGAAACGGUAGCUAAUACCGCAUAACGUCGCAAGACCAAAGAGGGGGACCUUCGGGCCUCUUGCCAUCGGAUGUGCCCAGAUGGGAUUAGCUAGUAGGUGGGGUAACGGCUCACCUAGGCGACGAUCCCUAGCUGGUCUGAGAGGACGACCAGCCACACUGGAACUGAGACACGGUCCAG